Molecule: long non-coding RNA, 1940 nt
Organism: Sphaeramia orbicularis (orbiculate cardinalfish)
Lineage: Eukaryota; Metazoa; Chordata; Actinopteri; Kurtiformes; Apogonidae
Exons: 3
Source: RefSeq, a predicted model, not a curated record
AUCUGAUGCGAUAUGCCCGUGUGCUCACUGCGUCUUGUGUAGAUGUUGGACGUUUUUACACAUGAAUAUUGUUUGUGUAAUGCAGUCAUAAUAUUUACGCAGGGACGCAGGAGGAGAGAGGUGGAAGCUCUGCCGAACUGUGAGCACAGAAACUCGGACGGGGACUUGGGAUCGGCUACUGGCAGCAUUUUACUCAUCGGAAUGAUCCAGGAAUUAAAAUAAGAUUGGGGCCUGAAAGGAAGUGGCUAUCCCUCCCUUCCACCUCUACUGCACUGCAGUAACGCAGGGCCCAAGAGGGCAAAGCGCUGAUCAGGACUUUUCCCAAUUCACAAACUGCCAAUCGACACAAAAGACAAGCUGCCAAGGCUCCGUCGGGUGAAAAGAGAUACAGGCUCAUCACAAGUGCAUUCUUUCCAUUUUGCCGAAGAGCAGCGUGGCAGAGAAGGUAAUCUAUCACCCAAAUUGUCUGUCCUUCUCCUUCUCUUUUUCUAACUGUGUUUCUCUUUCUCCUUCCUCUAGGUUGGAGUGGGCAGGCGUGCGGCUUUGGCCACAGGAAGCUGUGAAUUCUUUGGAGAAUGGAAGAUGUCUUAUGGGGAGACAUAGUGGCCCCCCACCCACCCACUCACCCACCCACUCACCACCCCAAAAUGACCCCUGACCCUUGAUGUGUUUAUAUCAGACCAUGGAAGUGAGAAAUAGUGAUGAGUCACUCUGGCUCUGUGUUUACACUCCAGAGUCACGCAAGGAAGGAAAUCAGCCACGGUCUGCUAAAAGUGGCGAGGUGAGAGAGAAUAGCUGCAGUCCCCCAGCGCUGCAGUGAUUUACCUCCUAGAGCCUGAAUUUAUUUCACGUCAUCUCAGCUGCAAAGCUUUUCGACCAACAGAAAACAGCAACAUUACUGGCAUGGUAGACUGUAGUCGAGGAAAAGGUGAGUCUGACCAGAGCAGGGACCAAAACAACAGGUAGUUAAUGAAGAUGUGACUGUUCAUCUGGAGUCAAACCGAUGAAAGAUGCAACAAAUACACAUAAAGUAUAAGAGGAAGCAGAGUGAUUCAAAAAGAACAGGACAGUAUAAAUGCAACUGAAAUCUAACUGCUGCAAAGCUAUCUGGCCAGGGACACCUUUGUUAAAAUAGUGUAUGUUUAUAAUGGGAGGUAAAAUACCUUGAGGCAAGUUAAAGAGAAGAAAGUUUCAUCCUUUGCUUGACAUUAAACAUCUUUAGACAAACCCUUGUUUCUAUAAUGCAAGAAAAUAUGGAGUUUACCAAAACUACUCAAAAUUGGCAAAAAUAAAUAUUAGUAUAAAACUAAACUAUAUCUUGUUUCGGGAAAGUGUUUAUAAAAACUUUCGGUUAUAUUAAAACUGCCACUCAUCUAUUUAUUGUGGAGCAUUUCUUUAAGAUAAAACAGAAGUAUGUUUUUUUUAUCUGAUAAUAUCAUAAAAAUUCCAGAUAACUUUGCUUUAGCUCUGAUACAUUAUGGAAAAAAGUCUUUAUCAGCAAAUGUCACCUCAACUGACUUUACUGAACUAUUUGCACAUGAAAACAUACAACGUGGGUUAGUUUUUGACCAUAGUGUAAAAAAAAAAAAAAAAAAAUUCAAACAAUCUUUGGAAACAGUCGCACUCACAGAGCCAAUAAAUAACAUUGGUCUACAUAUACAAUGCCUGCAGAAUAAAAGUAGUGAAACUUGACCAGGUUUGAGUCACUACUAAAGAAAUGUUAAGACAAAAAUCAUGGUUGUCUGUAGUUUCCAAGAUACAGAUUUGGGUCAAAAUGUGAAAAUUUGAAAGUUAAUGAGAGAAUGGGUAUUACUGAAAAAGGAAUGGUUGAGUCAGAACAUUUAAUAGCUGAGGCAGAUAAUUAAAAAAAAAAGAGAAAAAAAAGUAGACCAUUGUGAUCCAAUGUUGACCCAAGUUUCCUGUUUUUCCUGUUUCAUUAA